AUGGUCUCGUCAAUGAAGCACUGCAGAUAUCAGGCCGAGGUGCCAUUGUCCCUCUCGCUCUCCCUCGGCGCCGUGACUGGACGGAACAAGAAGACACGCCGCAGUGCAGACGGCGAGUUCGUGUGCAAGACGUGCAGCCGCUCCUUCCCGUCGUUCCAGGCGUUGGGCGGACACCGGACAAGCCACCUGCGCGGCCGCCACGGGCUCGCGCUCGGACUCGCCGCCGGGACCGAUCUGCCGGCGACCAAGAAGGCCACGGAGCAGAAGCAGGCGCACCAGUGCCACGUCUGCGGGCUCGAGUUCGAGAUGGGGCAGGCGCUGGGCCGCCACAUGCGUCGGCACCGCGAGCAGGAGGCCGCCACCACGGCGCAUGCGCCUCCCGUUCUGCUACAGCUCUUCGUCUAG
Molecule: ribosomal RNA, 405 nt
Filed under: Triticum aestivum (bread wheat)
Lineage: Eukaryota; Viridiplantae; Streptophyta; Magnoliopsida; Poales; Poaceae
Description: partial small subunit ribosomal RNA
Source: RNAcentral